Molecule: long non-coding RNA, 1220 nt
Organism: Drosophila sulfurigaster albostrigata
Lineage: Eukaryota; Metazoa; Arthropoda; Insecta; Diptera; Drosophilidae
Exons: 2
Source: RefSeq, a predicted model, not a curated record
UUGGUUAGGCCUUGCCAGAGCGCAUGUUUAUUAAUCAGCAGAAGUGCCACACACAGAAAAAAAAAGACACAGGUUUGUUUCUCUGCGCUGUUCGUUUUCGCAUUUCUUGGGAUGAGCGAGAGAGAUGUACGUAGAGACAGGGGGAGGAGGGGGCAGAAUGCAUGUAAACAGUGCAUGUACCGUUUUGGGGCGGCCGGUUUUUUUGCAUUGUGAAAAGUCUAGCCUGUGAUAUGUGUGUGUAUUUAUGACUGCGCAGCCAAUAUGGCCGUGUGUUUGGGAGUGUGUGUGCAUGUUGUCUCAGCAGCUAAAGCUGGCGACCCAUCGGCAUUGGCGAGAAUGUGUCGAUUAUUAUGUGCAUACACGUUUCUUGUACAGGGUGUGUGUGUGUCUUUGGUUGUAGAUGUGUAUGCGAGUGUUCUCGGCGUUGUUGUUGCGUACAUAUGAAUGAUGCGCGCGCUAUAAUGUUGUUAUAGAUACAUUUUGGUAUCAAAUAACCUGAAAUUACAACAAGCAUGGCAUACAAAAACUUAUACACGUGUACACAUACACAUAAAUACAUAUAAGUAUGCAUGUGUUUCCUAUGCGUCUGUAUGCUUGUUUAUAGCAGUGUUUGUCACAAGUGAAGGCCGGCGACAGCAACAGCAGCAACAACAACAGCUACGAAAACACAAGAUUGUGGAAGCAUUGCCAGCUGGCGCAAUUUCAGCAAUGGAUGUUAUUUGUCGCUUCUUCUGCUUCUGGUGCUUUUGCGCUCUUUUAUAUGGCGUCGUCGUCGACAACGACAUAAAUUGAAACUAGAUUUACAUCAUGGCGUAGUAUUUGUUGUUUUUGUGGCACACAGUAACACACACACUCUCACAGAGAACGCGGCGUUGUAUAUGAAAAAUUUGUGUAAUCACAACGCAGCAGCAACAUAACUUUUGCGCGUUUUUCGGCUUGCCCUUUGUCGUACUAUCUCGUUCUAGCCUUCGUUUCACAAUAUCAAGCAGCAAUUAAUAAAUGCAUAUUCGUGCAUAUGUAUGCCCAUAAAAUAAAACACUUACCUGGUUUGUUUUCCGUGCACGUCUUUCCAAUUCUAUUCUCUUCUCCAUUAUGUCGGUAGUGUGGCUUUUUGCUUUUGAAAAUUUGCUGACUUAAGCUGCACUUGUUUUGAAUUAUUUGGUAAAAGCGAUUUUUCUUUCGCUUGUACGUCUCCCAACCAACAACCAAGCUCGCAGAAA